This is a long non-coding RNA of Hippocampus zosterae (dwarf seahorse), 1149 nucleotides long. RefSeq lists it as uncharacterized. The transcript has 2 exons. Lineage: Eukaryota; Metazoa; Chordata; Actinopteri; Syngnathiformes; Syngnathidae. The record is from RefSeq and is a predicted model, not a curated record.
AACGCCGCACUUAAAGAGCCCCUAAGAGAGAUGGCAGAUCGACAGACGAUCCUCUGCGAAGUCAAAAAAAAAAAAAAAUACGAGGUCAACUAGCAGAGCGCCCUCUGGUGGGGGCGCUAUGUUUACCAGCCAAGAUCGGGAGAAGGAGGCAGCGAGGCUGGCUCGGAGCAGCCUCAGGCAUUGCGUGAGGUUACCGUUACUACGUGUGUUCAAUGGGACUCCGUGAUGGUCGCUGACCGCCCCACGACCGCUGGAGGAACUAAACAAAAAAGUCAGCCUUUGAAUCACAGAGGUAAUUGUCAAAUGUACACAGCACGAAAAAAAAAAGGUGAGGGCGAACGGCGGUGGCGCUCGAGUCACAACAGGAAACAGGAUAUCCGUUUGCCGAUGACAUUGCUAUUCAGACCCCCACUUCCACCCUGCUUUUCUUCUUGGAACUCACGUCUCAGCAAAGCGGUCACAUGACAAAGUACAGACUUCACAGGAGACGGCUCAUCGUGUUCUUCAUUGUUUUUUUUUUGUGUGUUUUGUUUUGUUUUGUUUUCUAAAUUCAUUUAAAAAAAAAAGAAAGGUGAUCAAGAAUGAUCAGUUAACAAGGCAUAUAAAAUGAGAAAAAAAGGUGCGUGCGUAUGUGUGUGUGUGUGAGGGGAAAUGAAAGAUUGGACUGAGGUACCCUGAAGCCUGAGGUAGAUCACAAUACUGACAUGCGCACUGUUUACAUCCUGCGGUGGUUCACGUUGACUGUUCUCCCAUUUUUUUCUUUUUUUUCUCUUUAUAUUCGUUUUCAAGAAAAUAAACAAUUCCCUUCAAAACAAUAUGGCAGUGUCCCACUGAGGGCAAAAAAUAAAGAAAAAAGAAAACAAAGAGGACUUUUCAUUUUCUUUUGUUUCAUAUCAAUAGCUCUCAUCACAAAAUAGGAAAAAAAUAGAUUCAUAAAUAUUACUCUCUCUUUAUAUAUAUAUAUAUAUUUACACAUGCGCGCGCACACACACUCUCACACACACACGCUCGCGCACACAGAGGAAGGUGUGGCAAUAACCUUUGCGAUGAAGAGUGAUAAAAUAAGGCUUUAGAGUGACCCGCACGGCCAGCACAGGAAAUAAAACUCAAGGUCACGGUGUUUGGCCUGCUGAACAAGGCGAGGGCUGC